This 70-nucleotide transfer RNA is filed under the name Marmota monax (woodchuck). RNAcentral's name for it is "tRNA.Undet". It matches the Rfam family "tRNA". Rfam says of the family: Transfer RNA (tRNA) molecules are approximately 80 nucleotides in length. Their secondary structure includes four short double-helical elements and three loops (D, anti-codon, and T loops). The record is from RNAcentral. Lineage: Eukaryota; Metazoa; Chordata; Mammalia; Rodentia; Sciuridae.
GGGGAUGUAGCUCAGAGGUAGAGCGCUUGCCUAGCAGUUGGAGGCACUGAGUUCGAUCCUCAGCACCACA